CACAAUCCAAUUUUACAAUCACAAAAGAAUCCCAAUUGCCCAUUUGUAGUCAUUUCUCCUUCCCACCACAAGCUCACGCAACCAGGAAUCUAUUUUCUGUCUCUUUGGAGUUGCCUGUUCUGGAAUAUUUCAUAUAGAGGAAAUCGUAUACUAUGUGGUUUUGUGACUGGCUACCUUCACUUAGCUUAAUGUUUUCAAGUUUCCUCCACGUUGUAGGUAUUGUAGUCAUAUCAGUGUUUAUUUCUGCACUGCUGAAUCACUUCCCAUUGUACAGACCUGGUCCGUUUCAUUUUUCCCAUCACCAGUUGAUGAAUAUUUGGAUUGUUUCCCCUUUUUGGCUAUCAUGAGGAAAACUGCUAUAAGCAUUUGCAUGUAAGUCUUUGUGAGGGAGGUAUCCAGAGAGGCUAAUGGAAGAGACAGGCUUUGGGAUUUAUUUGCAGAGAGGUUAGGCAUUCAGACAUGUGGAAAGAGAGAUGAAAGGAAAGUGCACCUGAGGCUGAACAAGUGACUAAAGGAGAAGCCACUGUGCCUGUCGAAAGAACAAUGAAUAAUCCAGAAUUGAUAGAUAAGUAAGACUGGGGAAGGAAGAGAAAGGAAGACACAGCCUCUGAGAGCCGGAUGAAGACACAAAUGGGAUGGAGGCUGCGGCUGUUAAACCAUCAGGACUCAGCGGCUGUUAAACCAUCAGGACUCAGCAAUUAUUUCAUGUGGAGACAAGUGAUGGCAAAGCCAAAAGGCCACGGGUGUUGAGCUGUUGACGAGAAACUGAAAGUGCCAUUGUGUUUAUACAGGAAGCUGCCAUUAGUAGGGAUUUGAAAAAGCAAGAGGAGAGGAUGAGUUUAGUGGGGAGUUCUUACACUUCAGGUGCUAGUGGAUACCACCAAGUCAAUAUUGAGUAGCAGGAAACCAGGGCCUGAUGUUCCGUCAGGCCAUCAGGGCGGAGACAUUGUGGAGAGGAAGUUUUGAGGCUGUGAGAUUAGGAGAGAAGCAUGGAGUGUAGAGCAGGAACUAGGCCUCUCUUUACCCAAAAUCCAAAACCCCACUUAUGCCAGACACACUCAAUACUUUCUGCUGGGAUCCUCAAUUCUCAUAAAGUUUUCAUAAUAAGGCCGGGCGGGGUGGCUUAUGCCUGUAUUCCCAGCACUUUGGGAGGCCGAGGCGGGCGGAUCACCUGAGGUCAGGA
Molecule: long non-coding RNA, 1183 nt
Filed under: Homo sapiens (human)
Lineage: Eukaryota; Metazoa; Chordata; Mammalia; Primates; Hominidae
Description: HSALNT0355752
Source: RNAcentral